RNAcentral lists this ribosomal RNA (473 nucleotides) under uncultured Anoxybacillus sp. Its description in RNAcentral is "bacterial SSU rRNA". It matches the Rfam family "Bacterial small subunit ribosomal RNA", at positions 906 to 1382 of the family's 1533-position model. Lineage: Bacteria; Bacillati; Bacillota; Bacilli; Caryophanales; Anoxybacillaceae. The record is from RNAcentral.
GGAAUUGACGGGGCCGCACAAGCGGUGGAGCAUGUGGUUAAUUCGAAGCAACGCGAAGAACCUUACCAGGUCUUGACAUCCCUGACAACCCGAGAGAUCGGGCGUUCCCCUUCGGGGGACAGGGUGACAGGUGGUGCAUGGUUGUCGUCAGCUCGUGUCGUGAGAUGUUGGGUUAAGUCCCGCAACGAGCGCAACCCUCGACCUUAGUUGCCAGCAUUCAGUUGGGCACUCUAAGGUGACUGCCGGCUAAAAGUCGGAGGAAGGUGGGGAUGACGUCAAAUCAUCAUGCCCCUUAUGACCUGGGCUACACACGUGCUACAAUGGGCGGUACAAAGGGUCGCGAACCCGCGAGGGGGAGCCAAUCCCAAAAAGCCGCUCUCAGUUCGGAUUGCAGGCUGCAACUCGCCUGCAUGAAGCCGGAAUCGCUAGUAAUCGCGGAUCAGCAUGCCGCGGUGAAUACGUUCCCGGGCCUU